This 729-nucleotide long non-coding RNA is filed under the name Panax ginseng (ginseng). Its description in RNAcentral is "long non-coding RNA (PGIN_LNC017408)". Lineage: Eukaryota; Viridiplantae; Streptophyta; Magnoliopsida; Apiales; Araliaceae. The record is from RNAcentral.
CAUUGACUGUGAUAACAUACAAAUGGAAAUACUAUUAUUUAGGAAGAAAUAACCAGCUUGAAUAAUCUUACAAACUUCAUAUAACCAUUAAACAUGAAAAAAUUUGAACUUCACACACAUCAGCUUCACUGCAUUAACUACAAGAAGCAAUAAACACUAAGAGUUGCUUUCUCUCGAUUUCCAGCUAGGUCUUUUUUUAUUGCUGCAAUAAGAAUUUUCACACCAAGUCCUUCAUUACACGAAAUAACAUUAUGGUAGCCUAAGGAUGAGGAGGGAAAUAAGGUGGAAGGGGUGGGAAAUAUCCAAUCUUGGGGUGGUGGAAGUACUUUGGUGGAAACUUGGGAUGGUGGAAGUACUUUGGAGGAAGCUUAGGAAGAGGAGUAAUGGGUGGGAAAGGUUUCUUAUAUAUUGGAACCAGUGGUGGAAGUGGCUUUGUGUAUACCGGAACUAGAGGUGGGAAUGGCUUCUUGUAAAUAGGAAUUGGUGGAUGCGUAUAAACUGGUAGAGGUGGGAAUGGUUUCUUGUAAAUAGGAAUCGGUGGAUGUGUAUAAACUGGUAGAGGUGGGAGUGGCUUCUUGUAAAUAGGAAUUGGUGGAUGUGUAUAAACCGGUAGAGGUGGGAGUGGCUUCUUGUAAAUAGGAAUUGGUGGAUGCGUAUAAACCGGUGGUUUUGGCUUUGGUUUGUAAACUGGAAUUGGUGGAUGCGUAUAAACCGGUGGCUUUGGCUUUG